AUGCGCGAUUCUCUUUGGCACGGGCGGCGCGACGUGAAUGGAAGUCAAUGCCUGGUUAAUUGGCAGAAGGUAUGCCGCCCUCUAUCGCUCGAAGGGCUAGGGAUUCCGGACCUACAGCGCAUCGGAGUGGCUCUGCGUAUGCGCUGGAUGUGGUUUCCAACGACGGAUGCAUCCAGGGCAUGGCACCAUCUGCAUCUACCUGGCACCCCUAAGGUGUGGACGGUGUUUCGAGCAUCCACGGCUUGGACUCUCGAUAAUGGCAAGGCUUGCCGUCUCGGGGAUGAUCACUAG
Molecule: ribosomal RNA, 291 nt
Filed under: Triticum aestivum (bread wheat)
Lineage: Eukaryota; Viridiplantae; Streptophyta; Magnoliopsida; Poales; Poaceae
Description: partial small subunit ribosomal RNA
Source: RNAcentral